AGUUGCUGUUGACAAUUCAUAUCAACAUGGCAACCCUUCUCCACGUUUAACUCCACAUUUUAAAAAAAGUAAAUUCAUACUCUUAGCAUCACAACAUACUCCCAAUGUGAUAAAUGGACCUGAGUGUGGAGGGGGAAAGAACGGCGAGCCUUUUCCGUUACACUAGUAUUUGAGGUUAAGAUUCUUUGGACUGGGCCGGAGAACAUUUUUCCACGCAGUCAACUGAAAGUGCACAUUCUGCCCUCUCAGAAAUGAUCAUUUGACCAAAAAGUCUCCCUCUCUCUCUCUGUCUCUAUAGGGUCUGAUGCUGAAACUGUGGAUUUGUACUCACCACCAGAUGGGAUAGCCUCCAAGCACCCGUGAGCUGGACAACCACACACACAUCAAAUAUCCAAUCAGAUACAAAUCCAUGAGCUUCCUCCAGGGGCAAUAAUGGACUCCCUGCGUCAGCCUUUUCCAGCGAGGCUAUCGUCCAAGCCUGCCUGGGUCACAAGUCCACCUUCCCCUGUUGGAGAAAACUGUCCCGGCAGUGUCAUUCCUGUCACAUCCAGCUCAUUUACAGGCCAUACGAGCCUCGGUGCCAUCGACCUGAAGAGCACAUUCGUGUUAACAGAUUCUCUUCAGUCCUUAAGAUUCAGGACGAGGCAUAUUCGGUGGGAAGUGUGGAACGUGCUGCAAAUACAAAAAUACUGCUGGAAAUAAAUUUGUCAGCAAGUUUCUCACAAAUAAAAAAUGACAAGAAAAAG
Larimichthys crocea (large yellow croaker) is the source of this 746-nucleotide long non-coding RNA. RefSeq lists it as uncharacterized. NCBI's taxonomy places the organism in Eukaryota, Metazoa, Chordata, Actinopteri, Sciaenidae. The record is from RefSeq and is a predicted model, not a curated record. The transcript has 3 exons.